AUCCAGCUGAUGAAUCCCGAAUAGGAUGAAACGUCCGUCAAACUGGAU
Molecule: non-coding RNA, 48 nt
Filed under: Schistosoma curassoni
Lineage: Eukaryota; Metazoa; Platyhelminthes; Trematoda; Strigeidida; Schistosomatidae
Source: RNAcentral